AAUUUACUUUCUUUCCCAUUCAAGCAUAUAAUUGGCAUGUAAACUAUGAUUACUUUAAAAAUCAAGGCUUAAUAUCUUUCAUAAGCUUGUAAGCUAUAAAUUAAGGUUGAAAUCUUUAUAUUCGAUGCCAAACAAAUAUUCAUGUUCAUAAUUAACCAAAGGAACAAUGACCUUUUUUUUGUCAAAAAGGAAUAAUGAC
RNAcentral lists this long non-coding RNA (199 nucleotides) under Prunus persica (peach). RNAcentral's name for it is "long non-coding RNA (PPER_LNC008424)". Lineage: Eukaryota; Viridiplantae; Streptophyta; Magnoliopsida; Rosales; Rosaceae. The record is from RNAcentral.